This 345-nucleotide unclassified non-coding RNA is filed under the name soil metagenome. Its description in RNAcentral is "partial contains 5.8S ribosomal RNA, internal transcribed spacer 2, and large subunit ribosomal RNA". The stretch from base 1 to 120 matches the Rfam family "5.8S ribosomal RNA", at positions 35 to 154 of the family's 154-position model. The record is from RNAcentral.
GAUGAAGAACGCAGCGAAAUGCGAUACGUAAUGUGAAUUGCAGAAUUCAGUGAAUCAUCGAGUCUUUGAACGCACAUUGCGCCCCCUGGUAUUCCGGGGGGCAUGCCCGUCCGAGCGUCAUUGCUGCCCUCAAGCACGGCUUGUGUGUUGGGCCUCCGUCCUCCUCCCGGGGGACGGGCCCGAAAGGCAGCGGCGGCACCGCGUCCGGUCCUCGAGCGUAUGGGGCUUCGUCACCCGCUCUUGUAGGCCCGGCCGGCGCUUGCCGACACAUCAAUCUUUUUUCCAGGUUGACCUCGGAUCAGGUAGGGAUACCCGCUGAACUUAAGCAUAUCAAUAAGCGGAGGA